Molecule: long non-coding RNA, 1172 nt
Filed under: Equus caballus (horse)
Lineage: Eukaryota; Metazoa; Chordata; Mammalia; Perissodactyla; Equidae
Description: lncRNA (ENSECAG00000032838.3)
Source: RNAcentral
GCUCCCUCAAGCCGUUUUCAAUCAGGUGGAGACUGCUCUGCUCAUCCCAGAGGCCUCAGUUAUCCUCUGAAAAAGCUCAUGCAGCUUAUGAAAGAAACAGUUGUGGAAACUUUAUAAUUCAUCUGUAAAGAACUCUAGACCUGGCAGCUUUGUUUGGGCAAGAUUCACAAACAUUCUUGAUUAGAAUGUUCAGCAGAGUGCGCGUGGAAAAUUCUGACUCCCAGGCUCCCCCUUCCUCACCAGGGCAGAAUCUGCAGGGGAAGGUUUGUAACAAGCACGCCAGAAGAGUCUCGUGAUGAGGAUAAUUUAGGAACUAUUUGGGUGUCAGAUGAUGACGAGCUAUCCUUGUUUUAAAGCCCCCUGUGCUGCCUGUUGUCUUCACGUCACUCAAACAUUUCGCAUGGCUUGAGAAGUGCUGCCAUGUCUGCACCCGGGAUGUGAACCGGCGAACCCUGGGCCACAGAAGUGGAAUGUGCAAACUCAACCGCUGCACCACCAGAAACAAGCAAGGAGGUACCUGGGCAUAAGCAGCUCAUGAGAUGCAUUUCUCAGGCAAUAUUGUAUGAUUUAAUCGACUCUGGAAGAUGGUCCGUUCAGAGCUAAAUGGCUAUCAGUCAAGACUGGUGCCACACAGCCAGAAGAUUUACAUGUACAACUAUUAUCUAAGUCUCAAGGACUUUUUUCCAUUCUGCAUAACCUACCCAGCUUUCAGGAUUUAUAUUUAUAUUCAAAAGGGGGGCAUGAGGAAGUGUAACAUCCAGCCAGUCUUCGAGCACCGCACUGUAAUGCAGAGUCAGGAAGAACAACUGCCAACUAUUCAUAAACAAGACACCACUGAGAGAAUCCUAGGACAUAAGGGUGAGGCUGAAGCUCUCCCCUGCACCUCAGAGACCAAGACAGACUGCAUUGGAAAGCUUUUUCUCCCCAAAGCCCCCCAAGCACCCAGUUGUAUAUUCUAGUUGUGGGUCCUUCUGGUUGUGUUAUGUGGGACGCUGCCUCAGCAUGGCCUGAUGAGCAAUGCCAUGUCUGUGCCCCGGAUCCGAACUGGUGAGACCCUGGGCUGCCAACAGAGUAUGCAAACUUAACCACUCGGCCACGGGGCCAGACCCCUAAAAUUCUACACAUUUUAAAUGUCUAAAUUCUGGAUGUUAUAAACAAUCAUUCAUCUUCUA